AAAUAAAUAAAUAAAUAAAUAAUCUCUCUUUUUCUCCUCCCUCUCUCUCUUUCCUUCCUCCCUCUUCCUCUCCCCUUCCCCCAUUUUCUUCUCUUCCCGCUGGCAGCCCACUCUUCCCCGCCGCCUGCACGCCGUCGCCAGCGCCUUCCUCCCUUCCCGUCGCUCUGCAGCAGCUCCCCUUCCCCUUUCCUCCUUUCCGUCGGCGUUGUCAAGAACAGGGGGGGCUGCCUUCGCCGUUCGCCCUCUUGCCGGCGUGUUUUCGGCGAUCUGACAUCGGAAACGAGUUCCUCACCCCCAAAAACCCCGGAAGCAACCCUCCUCCGUCGGAAAAUCCUUGCCGGCAGCCUUGGAAAGUGUCGCGUGAGCAGCGACUUUCCGGCCCCGAUCCGCCGCCUUCCGGCCACUUUCCGGCCAAAACUCUUGUACUUCCGGACUCCCCGCAACUUGAGCUUCGCGUAGGCGCUUCCGGAUUUGAAUUCCGACACUGUUGGCAGGACCGGCUUCCGGACCCCAGUGUUUUCUGGACGCGCGGAAUAUUUUAAUUUUUAACUCGAUAAUUCAGCCUUCCCGCCAGCUCCACCCGAGGCGUAGGAGCGGACUGCGGAACGCGUUAGAUCAGUGAUAGUUAAAGACCUUCGCCAUCGCACAUUCGACAGUCCGACUUCUUCUUCUUCGGACUUUUCUCUUGCCAAUGCCGAGAACCCGAGCGACUGCAGCUGCAGCAUCGGCCCAGGAAGGCGAAGAUGAGUUUUCUGCUCAGACGGCUCCUCCGGACCCAGCCCAUGGUACCAGAAGGCGAGGUAGGCCUCGAGCAGCUGCCCAACCAGAUCAGGGCGAGGCUCAGGAGGUACAUGGUGCUGGUGAAAUUCCAGUGGAGGCUUUUGUGUCCAGUAUGACUGGGAUGCAGAGGGCCUUAGAGCAGUUGCUAGCCUUUCAGCAGCAGCAGGCUGCUCAGGGUGCAGGAAGCCGUGCU
Ricinus communis (castor bean) is the source of this 973-nucleotide long non-coding RNA. RefSeq lists it as uncharacterized. Lineage: Eukaryota; Viridiplantae; Streptophyta; Magnoliopsida; Malpighiales; Euphorbiaceae. The record is from RefSeq and is a predicted model, not a curated record. The transcript has 4 exons.